This 355-nucleotide ribosomal RNA is filed under the name Pipunculus tenuirostris. RNAcentral describes it as "partial 12S ribosomal RNA". The record is from RNAcentral. Lineage: Eukaryota; Metazoa; Arthropoda; Insecta; Diptera; Pipunculidae. RNAcentral also lists the same sequence under 1 other name.
AAAAAUUAAAUUUUAAAUAUUAAAGUAGUAAUAGUUAAGUUCUUGAAAUUUAAAAAAUUUGGCGGUAUUUUAGUCUAUUCAGAGGAACCUGUUUAGUAAUCGAUAGUCCACGUUGGACCUUACUUAGACUUGUAAAUUAGUUUAUAUAUCGUUGUUUAUAGAAUAUUUUAUAAAAAAAAUAAUUUUCAAUAUUUUUGAUUAAAUUAUAUAUCAGAUCAAGAUGUAGCUAAUGUUUAAGAUUAAAAUGGGUUACAAUUAUUUUAAAUAUUGAAUGUUGAUUUGAAAUAAUUUAUUGAAAUUGGAUUUGAUAGUAAAAUUAUAAAGAUAAAUAAUUUGAUUAUAGCUCUAAAAUAUG